GAUGAACGCUGGCGGCGUGCCUAAUACAUGCAAGUCGAGCGAACGGACGAGAAGCUUGCUUCUCUGAUGUUAGCGGCGGACGGGUGAGUAACACGUGGAUAACCUACCUAUAAGACUGGGAUAACUUCGGAAAACCGGAGCUAAUACCGGAUAAUAUUUUGAACCGCAUGGUUCAAAAGUGAAAGACGGUCUUGCUGUCACUUAUAGAUGGAUCCGCGCUGCAUUAGCUAGUUGGUAAGGUAACGGCUUACCAAGGCAACGAUGCAUAGCCGACCUGAGAGGGUGAUCGGCCACACUGGAACUGAGACACGGUCCAGACUCCUACGGGAGGCAGCAGUAGGGAAUCUUCCGCAAUGGGCGAAAGCCUGACGGAGCAACGCCGCGUGAGUGAUGAAGGUCUUCGGAUCGUAAAACUCUGUUAUUAGGGAAGAACAUAUGUGUAAGUAACUGUGCACAUCUUGACGGUACCUAAUCAGAAAGCCACGGCUAACUACG
RNAcentral lists this ribosomal RNA (495 nucleotides) under uncultured bacterium. RNAcentral's name for it is "partial 16S ribosomal RNA". It matches the Rfam family "Bacterial small subunit ribosomal RNA", at positions 28 to 505 of the family's 1533-position model. The record is from RNAcentral.